GUGAUUUAAUUGGUAAUUUGGUCGACAUUUUGACAAUUAUAUUUAGCAAUAUUUCGAUAAAUGCGGACCUGCUUCUUCCUCUUUUCGUAGUGACGGUGUUUCGAUAACUCAGUUAGACUUCGAGAUCUACAUUUUCGACAAAGGCCUGGUGUAAAUUACGUACUUAAUGAAGGUUUAAUGACACGAAUGAGUACAAGUACAUUACAUUUUUCGACGAAGGCCUUCUGUAAUUUCAUACGCUUCUUACGCAACAUUCAAUAGAUUUAUUUACUGUAUUAUCAUUUCGACCAAGGCGAAUUCGACACUUCAAUUACACAAGCACAAUCAAACUUAGUCAUUCCAGUCAGUUACUGAAGCACAGCGAAAACUGUCUGAAUUAGUGCUGCUGAUGGCAUGUAAUUACUCUACUACCACUACCAGUGACAGUCAAUGUCCAUAUAUUUUCAAGUGUGCGAAAUUAGUACUCGUCUACUUCUUAGUGUUAUUUGAAUGCAAUGUAUGUUAUAAAAAUAUUUUUUCAACACUAUAUCAACAUUCUCAUUCCUGUCAGUUUCUGAAAAUCAGCUAAAGCAAUCGCUACCAAUGCAGCUGAUAACAGCAAUUCUUUUUGUUCCCAAUGCCCAUCCAUGACAAUAUAUUUCACGCAUGUGACAAGCAUGUGACAAUCAUGUAAUCGUCCUGUUUUUUGUGUUCUAUUCAUGCAAUAAAUAAAUUCAGUAUUUUCAAAUCAUUGGUGCUACAAAACUAUUCUCAUUAUAGAUUAUUCAUAUUUUAUAAAAUGCUGUCAUGUCAAAUUUUGUGUCCUAUAAAUCAUUAUGAAGUCGGCAUUUUAUAUACAACUUUUGUACUCCUCCUAAAUAAACAUACAAAUCUUGUUUUAUGUAAACUUUGUAUAUGUGACCCGUCACAGCAAAACCAGGCGCAUGUCGCUCUGAGCUUGGCAGGUUGAGACGGACUGUUUGUUCAUUUAUCUAUUGUCUGCCUUUUGUAAAAUAUGAGCACAUCAAUUUCUUCCAUUAUCUCCUGGUGUCAUUUAGGCUCAUCUUCUGUGCGACAUGUACCUGGUUUUGCUGUGACGGGUCACAUAUUCUAUAGAUAUACAACACUCUAAUGUCACAAUGCCUCUCUCACUCGCUUUUAUAUAGCAAGAUGUAUGAAUAAACAUGACACACCAACUAUGUACAAAAUUGCUAACAAACUGCACCAUUUGUCAGUACACCACAUGAAAUACAGAGAUAUGUCUUAAUUCUAAUCUUUCAUUAGCGACACCAUUUCUUACCCGAGUGCCUCCUUCAUUCAUACAUCUUGUACUUUAACUCAAGAUACCCAUCUUUGAAUAUUUUUAGUAUACCAAGUACUACAAUGUCAAUGUAUUGAAGUCAUGUUCUUGUAGUGUUAUUGGCUUUCUAUUAUCUUGUCAAAAUACCACUUGGUUCUCGCAAAAUCUCAAUAAAAACAAAUGCUAUUGCAUGUAUUGCAUAUUCUAACAGCUAUCCACUGUAUCGAUUUAUCCAUCAUCUGUACUAUUUGUCACAAAAAUGUUAUAUUAUGUAAAUCAUAUUUCAUUACAUAAUGCACACUGCCAAUUACUGCUGAACCAUUCAUAUGUCAUUUAAAUAAAUAAUUUUCAACUUUUUAAAACCGUCUUAUAGUACUGUUCUUGUCACUUAGCUGAACCAAUUGCUCUAUAGCAUGAAAUUUCCAGAAAUGCCCCAGGGACUGAAAAGUGCUGUUUUAACAGAGAGGUGUCCUAAACUGAGAAGUCGAGUUGAAUGGAAACAACCAAUUUGGAACCAAAAACUACUGUCCUUAUUAAAGAGGUUGUCCUCAAUAGAAAGGUGUCCACAAAAAGUAGGUCCACUGUAUAUGAAAGUACAAACCCUGGUACAUGUAGUGACAUCAUCUACUCCUCGAUGUGGACACCUGCAAAUGCAGCGACAAUGUCACAUCAGUUAUUUAAUUCAUCGUCCUUUGUGCAGAUGGCACCACCCAUCAAGCAUGUUGGUGACGAAUAGUGUCGCAGCAUUUCGUCACCGAGCUUACAAGAAAAUGCACUGUAAUUCAUUCAGCCAUAAGUGCAAGACUGUAGGGUUGUUUCCAACCAAAACAUGUUCGAAAUGUGUCAAGCAUUCGGAACACCCAAAGACUGAUUAGAGAAGUCAAAAUUGAAUGGAAACAACCAAUUUGGGACCAAAACCAGUGUCCUUAUUGGAAAGGUUGUCUUUAAUAGAGAGGUGUCUACUAACGGAGGUUCCACUGUACAUAAUGUAGGAACCCUGGUUGUGACAUUGUCCACUCCUCCAGCUGCACACCACCAAAUCCACAACAAUGUCACACCAGUUAUUUAGUUCAUCA
Lineus longissimus is the source of this 2355-nucleotide long non-coding RNA. RefSeq lists it as uncharacterized. Lineage: Eukaryota; Metazoa; Nemertea; Pilidiophora; Heteronemertea; Lineidae. The transcript has 5 exons. The record is from RefSeq and is a predicted model, not a curated record.